Molecule: ribosomal RNA, 926 nt
Filed under: Bacillus subtilis
Lineage: Bacteria; Bacillati; Bacillota; Bacilli; Caryophanales; Bacillaceae
Description: bacterial SSU rRNA
Rfam family: Bacterial small subunit ribosomal RNA
Source: RNAcentral
CGGGCUAUCAUGCAGUCGAGCGGAAGAUGGGAGCUUGCUCCCUGAUGUUACGGCGGACGGGUGAGUAACACGUGGGUAACCUGCCUGUAAGACUGGGAUAACUCCGGGAAACCGGGGCUAAUACCGGAUGGUUGUCUGAACCGCAUGGUUCAGACAUAAAAGGUGGCUUCGGCUACCACUUACAGAUGGACCCGCGGCGCAUUAGCUAGUUGGUGAGGUAACGGCUCACCAAGGCGACGAUGCGUAGCCGACCUGAGAGGGUGAUCGGCCACACUGGGACUGAGACACGGCCCAGACUCCUACGGGAGGCAGCAGUAGGGAAUCUUCCGCAAUGGACGAAAGUCUGACGGAGCAACGCCGCGUGAGUGAUGAAGGUUUUCGGAUCGUAAAGCUCUGUUGUUAGGGAAGAACAAGUGCCGUUCAAAUAGGGCGGCACCUUGACGGUACCUAACCAGAAAGCCACGGCUAACUACGUGCCAGCAGCCGCGGUAAUACGUAGGUGGCAAGCGUUGUCCGGAAUUAUUGGGCGUAAAGGGCUCGCAGGCGGUUUCUUAAGUCUGAUGUGAAAGCCCCCGGCUCAACCGGGGAGGGUCAUUGGAAACUGGGGAACUUGAGUGCAGAAGAGGAGAGUGGAAUUCCACGUGUAGCGGUGAAAUGCGUAAAGAUGUGGAGGAACACCAGUGGCGAAGGCGACUCUCUGGUCUGUAACUGACGCUGAGGAGCGAAAGCGUGGGGAGCGAACAGGAUUAGAUACCCUGGUAGUCCACGCCGUAAACGAUGAGUGCUAAGUGUUAGGGGGGUUCCGCCCCUUAAUGCUGCAACUAACGCAUUAACACUCCGCCUGGGGAUACGGUCGCAAACUGAACUCAAAGGAUUGACGGGGCCCCACAGCGGGGAACUGUGGUUAUUCCAGCACCGGAAAACCU